GACGAGGUGGCCGAGUGGUUAAGGCGAUGGACUGCUAAUCCAUUGUGCUCUGCACGCGUGGGUCUUGAAUCCCAACCUCGUCG
Molecule: non-coding RNA, 83 nt
Organism: Ciona savignyi (Pacific transparent sea squirt)
Lineage: Eukaryota; Metazoa; Chordata; Ascidiacea; Phlebobranchia; Cionidae
Source: Rfam